RNAcentral lists this ribosomal RNA (398 nucleotides) under uncultured bacterium. Its description in RNAcentral is "bacterial SSU rRNA". It matches the Rfam family "Bacterial small subunit ribosomal RNA", at positions 360 to 772 of the family's 1533-position model. The record is from RNAcentral.
AAUAUUGCACAAUGGGGGAAACCCUGAUGCAGCGACGCCGCGUGAGUGAAGAAGUAUUUCGGUAUGUAAAGCUCUGUCAGCAGGGAAGAAAGAAAUGACGGUACCUGACCAAGAAGCCCCGGCUAACUACGCGCCAGCAGCCGCGGUAAUACGUAGGGGGCAAGCGUUAUCCGGAAUUACUGGGUGUAAAGGGAGCGUAGACGGUUAAGCAAGUCUGGAGUGAAAGCCCGGGGCCCAACCCCGGGACUGCUUUGGAAACUGUGUAACUGGAGUACAGGAGGGGCAGGCGGAAUUCCUGGUGUAGCGGUGAAAUGCGUAGAUAUCAGGAGGAACACCGGCGGCGAAGGCGGCCUGCUGGACUGAGACUGACGUUGAGGCUCGAAAGCGUGGGGAGCAAA